This 72-nucleotide transfer RNA is filed under the name Bos taurus (domestic cattle). It matches the Rfam family "tRNA". Rfam says of the family: Transfer RNA (tRNA) molecules are approximately 80 nucleotides in length. Their secondary structure includes four short double-helical elements and three loops (D, anti-codon, and T loops). Lineage: Eukaryota; Metazoa; Chordata; Mammalia; Artiodactyla; Bovidae. RNAcentral also lists the same sequence under 3 other names. The record is from Rfam by way of RNAcentral.
UCCCCAGUAGCUCAGUUGGUAAAGAAUCUGCCUGCAAUGCAGGAGGCCCAGAUUCGAUCCCUGGGUGGGGAA